UAUCCGUAGGUGAACCUGCGGAGGGAUCAUUACAGAAUUAAUGAGGCACGGGGUCUUCGCCUCGGCAAAUCCUUUUCUUAAAUCAUAUCCUAACAGCGGUGAUAGGCGAGGUGUCUACUGCCGACUUCGGCCAAGCAGCCGCCGCCCUAUUUCUAAAAACCCAGUAAUGUAGUUUCGGUUGUCUUCUAAUUACCUUAUAAAACUUUCAACAACGGAUCUCUUGGCUCUC
This 229-nucleotide unclassified non-coding RNA is filed under the name plant metagenome. RNAcentral's name for it is "partial contains small subunit ribosomal RNA, internal transcribed spacer 1, and 5.8S ribosomal RNA". The record is from RNAcentral.